AUUAGUGUUGGACGAAGUGUCGUUAGUCUCCAUAACACAACAGAUCAACGUACGAGACGUAAAUUUUUUCUUCCUGUAAACAACAGUUAUCUUGAUUUGGCUGUUGCUAUACACAGUAACACUCCUGACUCAAACGCGACAAGCACUUUUCACUUUCCUUUGUGUCGACCCAACACAUACUAUCGUAAAAUUAAAGGAACAUUGAAUUGCACGUGUAUGGAAGGAUACUUAGGAGAAUGUAACUUGUGCCAAGGUAUUGAAAGACUUGUUCUAUACAACAUCUGCC
Molecule: long non-coding RNA, 286 nt
Organism: Xenia sp. Carnegie-2017
Lineage: Eukaryota; Metazoa; Cnidaria; Anthozoa; Malacalcyonacea; Xeniidae
Exons: 3
Source: RefSeq, a predicted model, not a curated record